UUCGUGCCAACCGAAUCACCAACCACGUAGUAUCGGAGCAUUGUGUGUCUAAUACUGCCUGGUAAUGGUGAUUGGGUGGAUACGUA
This 86-nucleotide microRNA precursor is filed under the name Ciona intestinalis (vase tunicate). RNAcentral's name for it is "microRNA cin-mir-200 precursor". Its record names the gene cin-mir-200. The stretch from base 6 to 81 matches the Rfam family "mir-200 microRNA precursor family". The record is from miRBase by way of RNAcentral. Lineage: Eukaryota; Metazoa; Chordata; Ascidiacea; Phlebobranchia; Cionidae.